RNAcentral lists this ribosomal RNA (497 nucleotides) under uncultured bacterium. Its description in RNAcentral is "partial 16S ribosomal RNA". It matches the Rfam family "Bacterial small subunit ribosomal RNA", at positions 28 to 507 of the family's 1533-position model. The record is from RNAcentral.
GAUGAACGCUGGCGGCGUGCCUAAUACAUGCAAGUCGAGCGAACGGACGAGAAGCUUGCUUCUCUGAUGUUAGCGGCGGACGGGUGAGUAACACGUGGAUAACCUACCUAUAAGACUGGGAUAACUUCGGGAAACCGGAGCUAAUACCGGAUAAUAUUUUGAACCGCAUGGUUCAAAAGUGAAGGACGGUCUUGCUGUCACUUAUAGAUGGAUCCGCGCUGCAUUAGCUAGUUGGUAAGGUAACGGCUUACCAAGGCAACGAUGCAUAGCCGACCUGAGAGGGUGAUCGGCCACACUGGAACUGAGACACGGUCCAGACUCCUACGGGAGGCAGCAGUAGGGAAUCUUCCGCAAUGGGCGAAAGCCUGACGGAGCAACGCCGCGCGAGUGAUGAAGGUCUUCGGAUCGUAAAACUCUGUUAUUAGGGAAGAACAUAUGUGUAAGUAACUGUGCACAUCUUGACGGUACCUAAUCAGAAAGCCACGGCUAACUACGUG